ACACGAAGAGCACCACACAGAGCGGCAGGUAGAAGGCGCCUACGGUGGAGAACACUGCGUAGGAAGGCUCGCGGCUUACCUGGCACUCCUCGCUGCCCUCAGAGUACGUCUCUCCCCAGCCAAAAAGCAGCGGGGCCAGAGAGAUGACAGCGGAGAGCGCCCAGGUGAGCGCGAUCAUGACGUUGGAGAUGCACUUGCGGGUGCGGAGCGUGUAUUCCAGGUGGCGCGUGAUGGACCAGUAGCGGUCCAGGGCUAUGGCCGUCACGUUCCAGAUGCUGGCCGUGCAGCAGAGGACGUCGCACGCGAUCCACAGCUGGCACAGCCGCCGACCCAGCUGCCAGCGGCGCCCAGACAGCUCGUGCACCAGGCUCAGUGGCAUAACCAGUGCAGCCACCAGGACGUCCGAGAUGGCCAUGGACGCCACCAGGUUGUGGGGCACGCGGUGGAAGGUGCGUACGCGGAGGAUGGUCGCCAGCACCAGCAGGUUCCAGGCGAACGUCGCCGCCACCAGAAAGCCCAGCAAGAGUAAAACCAGUAUCAGGCGAAUGCACUGAGAAAAUUGAGAAAAUAGAAAGUCCUCCACUGGAACCCCGAAGAUGGGACAUCACUAAAUACAGGAUUAUCCACAGGGCAGGGCUGUUUCAAACGCCGCUUAAAAACAGCUGGCGGUGACUACCUGCAUGCAGUGCAGCUGUGCAUGGCCCCAGUCAAGAAGCAAGCUUGUGCUUGUUUAGGGCGUAUCACCUUCUUGAGGCCAUGGAACUAAUGCGAAUGAGAUGUAAACUAUGAUUCCUCUUAUUUGAAAAAAGUUCUGCUUCUAGUCUCAGGGUCUGUGACCUGGAGGAAUGGAUGAGCUGGGUUGCCCACAGGCAGGCCUCAAUGGAUCUCUCUAUACAAAUCUCGAAAGGCAUUGUGGGCUGGUGAUUGUAUUUCCCACUGAUUCCCCAGGCCACAGCUGUCUGUAUUGACAGCUAAGUGAGCAGCAGAACAGUUAAUAGGAACAAAGCCAAGGAUAACUGAGGAUAAUUUGUGAAAAAUAGAGUGUCAUAAAGUUAGGGUCUGAAUACAAUAUUUCCACAAAGAGGAGAUCCAAUGGAGCAUUUCCAGAGGGGACAAACCUUGUUCAGAAAGUCUGGUUUAUCUCUUAAAAAUACACAAAUAAAAAAUCAUAAUAUUUCAGCUUCAUCUUAAAGCAUAGCCCAAUUUAAUUUGGAAAACACUGAAAAGGAAAAAAUCUGAAAAGGUAUAAAACUCCCAUCUGCCAUAUGGUACCUCUGAAAUGGCAGUACUGGGAAAUAUAAUUUCCUGGGUUGUCACCUGAUAUGGGUUAAAUUGUGUCUCUCCCUCCCCCUCCCUUACCCCCUGCCAAAUUUAUAUAUGGAAGUCCUAACCCUUAGAACCUCACAGUGUGACUAUAUUUAGAAAUAAGGUCUUUAAAGGGAUGAUUAGGUUAAAAUGAGGCCAUAGGAUAGGGUCUCAUUCAAUCUGACUGAUACUCUUACGAAAACAGGAAAUUUAGACAUACAAAGAGAUACUAAGGAUGUGUGUGCACAGGACAGACCCUGUGAGAAUAAAGUGAGAAGGUGGCCAUCUACAAGGCAAGGAGAGAGAUAUUAGAAGACACCAGAAUUGGAAGAUUAGAAGAUAUCAGGAUUGGAUUUCCAGCUGCCAGAACUAGGAACAAAUAAAUUUCUAGUGUGAGCCACUCAGUCUGUGGUACUUUUUUAUGGCAGCCCUAGCAAGCUAAUAUACCAUGUGACAAAAGAUACUAGCAAAAGAUACAACCACAUAACUGAACGAGGUGCUACACUGGGGGCAGAAGGAAUUAUAGACAUAAACACAUCAUGGGACAUCUACUAAAACCUUUCCUUUACAAAAUGUAGUUUGCAGCCAUCUAGCAAUCAUUCGAGUGCAGAAUCAGUUGUCUAUUGAGGUUACCUAUGGUUUGUAAUCAAGUAAUGUCAUUGGCAUAUAGAAAAAUACUUAUUUUAGAUAUCCUAUAAUGGGAAGGUAUGAAUCUAUUUCAUUUAAGUAGGAGCUCAAUUUGUUGUUGUUGUUUUUGCUUCUGUUUUUUGAGACAGAGUCUGGCUCUGUCGUCCAGGCUGGAGUGCAGUGGCACGAUCUUGGCUCACUGCAACUUCCGUCUUCCGGGUUCAAGCGAUUCCCAGCUAAUUUUUUUGUAAUUUUAGUAGAGAUGGGGGUUUUACCAUGUUGGCCAAGCUGGUCUCGAACUCCGGACCUCAAGUGAUCCACCCCCGUCAGCCUCCCAAAGUGUUGGAAUUAUAGGCCUAAGCCACCAUGCCUGGCCAAUACCAAUGAAUUUUAAUCUAACAGCAUACAAAACAUGCGAGAUACAAUUUCAGAUCCCACAUCAUAGCAAACCCUUAAGGUACUACCACUCAUUGGGUUUUAAUACAGCAUCACAGAAAAAAUACCCAUAAUUAUCUGAAAAGAGUAUUAAAAUACUCUAUUUUCAGCUGUAUAUCUGUAUGAAAGUAGAUAUUCUUCACAAUCUUAAACUAAAAUAACAUAUCCCAACAGAUGGAACGUAGAAACAUUUGUUCCAGAUGUCUUGAAGAGAUUUGCAAAAAUGUUAAACAAUGUCUUUCAGAAACAUUUUUUGGAAAAUAAUUAUUUUUCAUAAUGAGGUGUCAUUUAUAUAAACAUGUAAUGGGUUUUAUUAUUUUAUGUUUAAUAAAUAAAUACACAAAUAUGUUGAAAA
Molecule: long non-coding RNA, 2722 nt
Organism: Rhinopithecus roxellana (golden snub-nosed monkey)
Lineage: Eukaryota; Metazoa; Chordata; Mammalia; Primates; Cercopithecidae
Exons: 2
Source: RefSeq, a predicted model, not a curated record